RNAcentral lists this ribosomal RNA (450 nucleotides) under uncultured bacterium. RNAcentral's name for it is "partial 16S ribosomal RNA". It matches the Rfam family "Bacterial small subunit ribosomal RNA", at positions 338 to 795 of the family's 1533-position model. The record is from RNAcentral.
CCUACGGGCGGCUGCAGUGGGGAAUUUUGGACAAUGGGGGCAACCCUGAUCCAGCCAUGCCGCGUGAGUGAAGAAGGCCUUCGGGUUGUAAAGCUCUUUCGGCCGGGAAGAAAUCGCUCAAGCUAAUACCUUGGGUGGAUGACGGUACCGGAAGAAGAAGCACCGGCUAACUACGUGCCAGCAGCCGCGGUAAUACGUAGGGUGCGUGCGUUAAUCAAAAUGUGUGGGGGUAAAGCCUGAAGAGACGGGUGAAAUCCCCGGGCUUAACCUGGGAACUGCGUUUGUGACUGUGGUGCUCGAGUGCGGCAGAGGGGGGUGGAAUUCCACGUGUAGCAGUGAAAUGCGUAGAGAUGUGGAGGAACACCGAUGGCGAAGGCAGCCCCCUGGGUCGACACUGACGCUCAUGCACGAAAGCGUGGGGAGCAAACAGGAUUAGAUACCCGUGUAGUC